RNAcentral lists this long non-coding RNA (420 nucleotides) under Homarus americanus (American lobster). Its description in RNAcentral is "uncharacterized LOC121860731, transcript variant X1". The record is from RNAcentral. Lineage: Eukaryota; Metazoa; Arthropoda; Malacostraca; Decapoda; Nephropidae.
ACGUGCUGGAAGUGAAGACUUAAUAGUUGUCAUCAUAUUCUUCGUCUUCUGGUGGAGACUGCUCGACCUCAUGGUAGUCCAAUUCCAGGGCCGCUAGAUCCUCCCGUGCUUCUGCAAACUCUCCUAGAGAAGUGGCGAGGCAGCUCAGGUACAGCCUCUACCCAGACCACAUGUACAGUACUCAAGACUCAAGAAGUUCAAUACUUCUAGUGAAGAUGGUCAGCACCAGGGGUGAUACACUGUGAUCUAAUAUUCGUCAAUAGAGUCCCCUUCAUCUUGGGCACUGUCUGUUACGUCUCUGUAAUCCUGUUCAAGUAAUCUCAAGUUCUCCUGGGCUUCUGAAAACUCUCCUGUGGACAACAAAAUAACUUCAUGUUGAGAAUUCAGUUGGAAAAUUCUAAAUAAAAUAUGUUUACUGUC